AGAGGGGUGCGAGCGUUAAUCGGAAUUACUGGGCGUAAAGCGCGCGUAGGGUGGAUAAGUAUGUUGGGCUGUGAAAGCCCCCGAGCUUAACUUGGGAAGGCCAGCCAAAACUGCUUGUCUAGAGUACAGUAGAGGAAAGUGGAAUUUCCGGUGUAGCGGUGAAAUGCGUAGAUAUCGGAAGGAACACCAGUGGCGAAGGCGACUUUCUGGACUGAUACUGACACUGAGGCGCGAAAGCGUGGGGAGCAAACAGGAUUAGAUACCCUGGUAGUCCACGCCGUAAACGAUGAGAACUAGCUGUUGGGGGGCAUAAGCCUUUAGUGGCGCAGCUAACGCGUUAAGUUCUCCGCCUGGGGAGUACGGCCGCAAGGUUA
This 374-nucleotide ribosomal RNA is filed under the name uncultured organism. Its description in RNAcentral is "partial 16S ribosomal RNA". It matches the Rfam family "Bacterial small subunit ribosomal RNA", at positions 526 to 896 of the family's 1533-position model. The record is from RNAcentral.